GAUGAAGAACGUAGCGAAAUGCGAUAAGUAAUGUGAAUUGCAGAAUUCAGUGAAUCAUCGAAUCUUUGAACGCACAUUGAGCCCGCCAGUAUUCUGGCGGGCAUGCCUGUUCGAGCGUCAUUUCAACCAUCAAGCCCCAGGCUUGUGUUGGGGACCUGCGGCUGCCGCAGGCCCUGAAAACCAGUGGCGGGCUCGCUGUCACACCGGGCGUAGUAGAUUUUAUCUCGCUCAGGGCGUGCUGCGGGUUCCGGCCGUUAAAAAGCCUUUUUUACCCAAGGUUGACCUCGGAUCAGGUAGGAAGACCCGCUGAACUUAAGCAUAUCAAUAAGCGGAGGA
This 336-nucleotide unclassified non-coding RNA is filed under the name soil metagenome. RNAcentral's name for it is "partial contains 5.8S ribosomal RNA, internal transcribed spacer 2, and large subunit ribosomal RNA". The stretch from base 1 to 120 matches the Rfam family "5.8S ribosomal RNA", at positions 35 to 154 of the family's 154-position model. The record is from RNAcentral.